Molecule: long non-coding RNA, 114 nt
Organism: Nomascus leucogenys (northern white-cheeked gibbon)
Lineage: Eukaryota; Metazoa; Chordata; Mammalia; Primates; Hylobatidae
Exons: 3
Source: RefSeq, a predicted model, not a curated record
AGCACAUCAUGGAGAAUGGGGUAUGUAUCUUCUCAAGCAUUUAACCUAUGAGUUACAAACAAUCCAAUUACACUCUUUAUUUUAAAAUGUACAAUUAAAUUUUAUUUUAGUAUC